This 66-nucleotide transfer RNA is filed under the name Empoasca flavescens. Its description in RNAcentral is "tRNA-Phe". The record is from RNAcentral. RNAcentral also lists the same sequence under 2 other names. Lineage: Eukaryota; Metazoa; Arthropoda; Insecta; Hemiptera; Cicadellidae.
ACUUAAAUAGCUUAUAAAUUAGAGCAUAAUAUUGAAGAUAUUAACGAGAAAUUAUUUCUUUAAGUA